CAGUAGCCGCGGUAAUACGUAGGGUGCGAGCGUUAAUCGGAAUUACUGGGCGUAAGGCGUGCGCAGGCGGUUGUGUAAGACAGGUGUGAAAUCCCCGGGCUUAACCUGGGAACUGCGCUUGUGACUGCACAGCUAGAGUAUGGCAGAGGGGGGUGGAAUUCCACGUGUAGCAGUGAAAUGCGUAGAGAUGUGGAGGAACACCGAUGGCGAAGGCAGCCCCCUGGGCCAAUACUGACGCUCAUGCACGAAAGCGUGGGGAGCAAACAGGAUUAGAUACCCCCGUAGUCCCUGUCUCUUAUAC
RNAcentral lists this ribosomal RNA (301 nucleotides) under uncultured bacterium. RNAcentral describes it as "partial 16S ribosomal RNA". It matches the Rfam family "Bacterial small subunit ribosomal RNA", at positions 509 to 807 of the family's 1533-position model. The record is from RNAcentral.